This 465-nucleotide ribosomal RNA is filed under the name uncultured bacterium. RNAcentral's name for it is "partial 16S ribosomal RNA". It matches the Rfam family "Bacterial small subunit ribosomal RNA", at positions 28 to 507 of the family's 1533-position model. The record is from RNAcentral.
GACGAACGCUGGCGGUGUGCUUAACACAUGCAAGUCGAACGGUAAGGCCCUUUCGGGGGUACACGAGUGGCGAACAGGUGAGUAACACGUGAGUAACCUGCCCUCAUCUCUGGGAUAACAGUCGGAAACGGUUGCUAAUACUGGAUAUGAGCCUGCAAGGCAUCUUGUGGGUUGGAAAGAUUUUUUGGUUGGGGAUGGACUCGCGGCCUAUCAGCUUGUUGGUGAGGUAGUGGCUCACCAAGGCUUCGACGGGUAGCCGGCCUGAGAGGGCGACCGGCCACAUUGGGACUGAGAUACGGCCCAAACUCCUACGGGAGGCAGCAGUGGGGAAUAUUGCACAAUGGACGGAAGUCUGAUGCAGCAACGCCGCGUGCGGGAUGACGGCCUUCGGGUUGUAAACCGCUUUCAAUUGUGACGAAGCUUUUUGUGACGGUAGCAGUAGAAGAAGCACCGGCUAACUACGUG